Molecule: ribosomal RNA, 449 nt
Filed under: uncultured bacterium
Lineage: Bacteria
Description: partial 16S ribosomal RNA
Rfam family: Bacterial small subunit ribosomal RNA
Source: RNAcentral
AACGAACGCUGGCGGCAUGCCUAACACAUGCAAGUCGAACGAGAUCUUCGGGUCUAGUGGCGCACGGGUGCGUAACGCGUGGGAAUCUGCCCUUUGGUUCGGAAUAACAGAUGGAAACGACUGCUAAUACCGGAUGAUGACGAAAGUCCAAAGAUUUAUCGCCAGAGAAUGAACCCGCGUAGGAUUAGUUAGUUGGUGUGGUAAAGGCGCACCAAGGCGACGAUCCUUAGCUGGUCUGAGAGGAUGAUCUGCCACACUGGGACUGAGACACGGCCCAGACUCCUAGGGGAGGCAGCAGUGGGGAAUAUUGGACAAUGGGCGAAAGCCUGAUCCAGCAAUGCCGCGCGAGUGAUGAAGGCCUUAGGGUUGUAAAGCUCUUUUACCAGGGAUGAUAAUGACAGUACCGGGAGAAUAAGCUCCGGCUAACUCCGUGCCAGCCGCCGCCGUAA